AUGCGGUAUGACGGUACCCUUUCGAAUAAGAGGUUGCUAACUCUGUGCCAGCAGCAGCGGUAAUACAGAGACCUCGAGCGUUAUCCGGAUUUACUGGGCGUAAAGCGUCUGUAGGGGGUUUGUUAAGUUCCAAGUAAAAUCUUAAGGCUCAACUUUAAGUUCGCUUGGAAAACUAAUAAACUGGAGUCCAGCAGAGGUGCAUGGAACUUGCGGUGUAGGAGUGAAAUCCGUUGAUAUCGCAAGGAACACCAAAGGCGAAGGCAUUGCACUGGGCUGGUACUGACCCUGAGAGACGAAAGCGUGGGGAGCAAAACGGAUUAGAUACCCGUGUAGUCCACGCUGUAAACGAUGGAUACUAGAUGUUCGGGGAUUCGACCCCCUGGGUGUCACAGCUAACGCGUUAAGUAUCCCGCCUGGGAAGUACGGCCGCAAGGCUAAAACUCAAAGGAAUAGACGGGGAUCCGCACAAGCGGUGGAGCGUCUGGUUUAAUUUGAUAGUAAGCAAUGGACCUCACCAAGGUUUGACAUCCUAUGACAACCCUGGAAACAGGGCUUCCUUCGGGCAUAGUGACAGGUGCUGCAUGGUCGUCGUCAGUUCGUGCCGUGAGGUGUUCCGUUAAGUCGGGAAACGAACGAAACCCUCGUCGCAUGUUACAAAUUUCAUGCGAGACUGCCCGGGUCAACCGGGAGGAAGGCGGGGAUGACGUCAGAUCAGCAUGGCCCUUAUACCUUGGGCUACACAGGCGCUACAAUGGCCGGUACAAAGGGUUGCAAAACCGCGAGGUGAAGCUAAUCCCAUAAAGCCGGUCCAAGUUCGGAUUGGAGGCUGCAACUCGCCUCCAUGAAGUUGGAAUCGCUAGUAAUCGUGGAUCAGCCAUACCACGGUGAUACGUUCCCGGAUCUUGUACUCACCGCCCGUCACACCAAGAGAGUUGGUAGCUCCUGAAGC
This 949-nucleotide ribosomal RNA is filed under the name uncultured organism. RNAcentral's name for it is "bacterial SSU rRNA". It matches the Rfam family "Bacterial small subunit ribosomal RNA", at positions 462 to 1427 of the family's 1533-position model. The record is from RNAcentral.